Gossypium raimondii (Peruvian cotton) is the source of this 1203-nucleotide RNA transcript. RefSeq lists it as uncharacterized. The record is from RefSeq and is a predicted model, not a curated record. The transcript is spliced from 4 exons. Lineage: Eukaryota; Viridiplantae; Streptophyta; Magnoliopsida; Malvales; Malvaceae.
UAUUCCCGCUCAUCACUGAAUAGAGGAUGAGUAGCAUUCUUUGCCUCACCCUCUGAAUUGCCAUUCAAAGCACGGUAGGAAUGCUGGGAGCUUACUUUUUUUCAUUUUUACCCUCAUUUUUCAUCGUCAUCAUUUAUGCAGUUUCAACUACAGCCUCUACAUUUUUUACCUUCUCCAUUUAUAAAGCCCUAAACACCAUUGCCCCUCACCAAUUUUUUCAAUCUUUUCCUCAUAGGAAUCGAGAUCGUAGAAAUUUCUCAAAUAAGGGCAAAAUCUUCAGCAAGGAAAAAAAUCUAGACUCAAUUGAAGAACACAUUAGCUUCUGGUUUUGAUUUCAAAGCGAUUCAAGACAAGGUGUUUCAGCUUCGAGUGAGUUUUGUGAAGGAUCCACAAAAGCAAUAAGCAAUGUGGGAUGAACAACAUGAGCUUGCUGCUGAUAAAAUUUACGUUAUGUGUUAUGAUCUUGCAGGAUAUAGCACAUUUGUUCUCGGGUUCCGGAAAUAGGAUAAUGCUUACAAAAAUCGAAUGGAUAUACCUUAACAUAUGUUCGUAUCUAAAUUAGGUUCACCAAGCAAGAUUGAGAGGUGAUAAGAACGAUGUUGUUGUUAAGGUGCAACAUUCGGGAAUCCAGGAUCUUAUGAUGACUGACAUUCAAAAGACUGAUAUCAAAUUUGAUAUGUUUUCCAUUACCAAGGAAAUGAAAAAACAGGUAUUUGUAUUCACACUGUUGUCCCUUGCAAAACACAUCUAUCAUUCUUUUAUGUAUUUUUCAGAUUAUGUAAAUUAAGAGUAUCGUACCACUCGAAUUUGGAUUUCUUUGUUCUUCUGCAUGUCGUUAAUUAUUUAUCCUUUGUGUUGUCAAAAUCAAAUAUGAGUUUGACUUUCUAAGAAAAGCCAAUGCUAUGGAGAGAAUCCCUUGUUUCUUAUACGAGAAUAACAAAAAGACUUCCGUCCCGGUUCCGAGAGUGCUUUGGGGUCUGGUUACAAGGAAAGUUCAUUUUGUUGUAAUUCUUCGUAUUGCCUGUACAUAUUUGUCCUAGUACUGUCAAGGAUACGUGGAAUAGAUGUUUGAAAAUGCAUUACAUUUUGUAGUUUAGGACUUGGUGUUGACAAGCAUAAAGCUUGUACCGAUGUAGAUUCACUCAUUUUAUCUUUUCAUAUUUGUGUGCUUAUCAGCGAGUUAGUAAUGAGGUUUGUUAUCCA